RNAcentral lists this ribosomal RNA (478 nucleotides) under uncultured bacterium. RNAcentral describes it as "bacterial SSU rRNA". It matches the Rfam family "Bacterial small subunit ribosomal RNA", at positions 28 to 515 of the family's 1533-position model. The record is from RNAcentral.
GACGAACGCUGGCGGUGCGCCUUAUGCAUGCAAGUCGAGCGAAGCUUUUCAGUAGUUUACUACAGAAAAUGACUGAGCGGCGAACGGGUGAGUAACGCGUGAGCAAUCUACCUUAGUUACAGGGAUAGCCCGAGGAAACUCGGAUUAAUACCUGAUAUUCUUUAUUUCUCGCAUGAGAAUAAAAGGAAAGGUCAGCCGAACUAAGAUGAGCUCGCGUUCUAUCAGCUAGUUGGUGAGGUAAAAGCUCACCAAGGCUACGACGGAUAGCUGGUCUGAGAGGACGAUCAGCCACACUGGGACUGAGACACGGCCCAGACUCCUACGGGAGGCUGCAGCAGGGAAUAUUGCGCAAUGAGCGAAAGCUUGACGCAGCGACACCGCGUGUGGGAUGACGGAUCUAGGUUUGUAAACCACUUUCAGGAGGGAAGAAAAUGACGGUACCUCCACAAGAAGCCCCGGCCAACUACGUGCCAGCAGA